This is an RNA transcript of Triticum aestivum (bread wheat), 4006 nucleotides long. RefSeq lists it as uncharacterized. The record is from RefSeq and is a predicted model, not a curated record. The transcript is spliced from 8 exons. Lineage: Eukaryota; Viridiplantae; Streptophyta; Magnoliopsida; Poales; Poaceae.
UGUAGCUGCAUGAUGCAUGUGCGUGUGGGGCCUGGCUGACCGAUGCAUCAUGUGUGCCUCGCCUCCAUCUACAGCAGUUGGAGAAAGAGAUGGACUGGCGCCUACGACGCGUUGGUCGAUGCCGCAGCCGCCGCCAUCCGCGAGCUCGGGUGCACGGUCGCGCUCAUGGACCUCCACCGUUGCCUCGACGCCUUCAGCGAGUCCUGCGACCGAGCCGAGGGCCUCGUCCAGGCCGCCGCUGCCUCCAGCCACCACGAGCUGUGCCGCGCCGUGCGCGCGGUCGACGAGGAUCUCUGUGCCGCCGCCGGCCGUCCGGGAGGAGAAUGAGAUAGAAGAGGAGAAGAAUAGCCCUCCGACCACGCCACUGGCGGCCGAGGACAAAUAGCCCAAUCGAUCUUCCUCGUCUCCUGAAGAUGAAUGAAACUGUGACGGGAAAGGAGAGAUGGACUGAGAUAUUUUUCCUCGCCAUGUCGCAUGGUGGUCGAGAUGCGGAAGCCCCAUGCUCUGUUUCGAUGGGCCUCCUCUGCUCAAUGGUUGCCGCUGGUAGAGUUUGGUACAGUUUCCUGUUGUUGCUUGCGUCGAACCUUGGGUCCGUCUCUCCUUCUCAUUGAGUUCAGCCUACUUCUCCUGUCGCUAGCGCUUCUUCUCGUCUAUCCUGCUGCUUACCCAACAUGCUUCUGCUUGCUGCCUCAGGUUGUACGAUCUCUUAUGUCGCUGCGCCGUUCAACUCAUCAAGGUUUUCUUCUUUCCUUUCUACCACAUGUGUGCAUGUUUUACUUUCAGUAUCUUCUGUCUCAUGUUGUCAAUCUUGGUGAUCUUUUAAAUAUCUCUAUGUUGUGCUGGUCGUUUAAAUGUUCAGGAUACGGUCAGGCGUUGUAUGUUGUUCGUUCUCGUGCUGCUUAUAUUGCGUGUGAGCACGAUUUGUCCGCUUGUUACCGUUGUUAUACCUGUUUUGAGGUCGUGGUAACUCAAUGCCCCCACGCUCACUCUUUCUGUUGUACACAGAAGCUUAUUUGUCCAAUUCUCAGACUAAUUUUUUGAAAGAAACCGCAAUUCAUUAUGAUGCCAAUUAUGGAUAUGGAUCCAUCUUGCUGCACUGGAUGAAGGACUGGACGUAAUAAGAAUUGCAUGUGACAAUUUCUCAUGCAUAGUAUUUGUUGUACAAACAUCCAGUUAAUUCUUGAGAUACAAUAGAGACACUAUAAUGGUACUACUUCAGUGAAAUGUCGCUCUAGCUAUUAAUUUGCAGAAUCUUGCAUGACAAACUGUAGGCAUGUGAUAUAUAUGGUGUUCCAGUAAAUAAAGAAAACUGGAACAUGUGCCUUCAAAUUUUCUAUUUAUAUACAAAAACCAUGCAUUGGUACAUAUGAACCAUAUGAAUAAGACUGAAGAAGAUAUAUUUUUUUGUCAUGUUUGUGAGUUUUCUGUUAUUUCCUCUCAGUGUGAAUAGGACUAAAGAAGAUGGGCAUAGCAUUUUAGGUAAUUUCACUUUUUUUUGAACAGCAAACCGUAGAACAGUAGUUCUAUGGUAUAUUUUCAUUAAAAAAACAGUAUGUUACUACGGGAAAGGAGAAAAUAGAAACAAAAUAAAAAAGAUCUAAGCUAACGGGGCAGAGUCCUUAUCCAAUUUCUGUUUUGGGCAACAUGAGAAUCAUUUAAAAAUUGAUCUGACAGCCUGCUUCAACAAGGUGGAAUGCUCAUCUUUGAUCUUGUGUUGAAGUAGUUGAAGAUCUUUUUUUAAUUCAAGCCUCCAAUUUGAGAGUCGGCUGGAUGUUUCUGAAGACCUUGCCAUCUCACUUUGUCCUGGGUUAAUAACAGAUUACAAAUUUAUUUUUUGAGAUAGGACAUGUUAUUUACGAAGGUAUACCAUUUCUAUUGACUGGAUAAUUUACAUGUUGGCAAGGACUUAUUGGUGCAGCCUGGUCAUAAUUGCUCAGCCAAUUUCCCAACCCAAAUCCAGAACCGCUUCAUCUUUAGAUCUUUACGUGCUUGAUGAAAUGCCUUAGAGACUAAGAUCUGCACUUUGUUUUUCUCCGUUCUCCUGCUCACGGAUUAACCGAUGGCUGUAAGACCCAGAGAAGCAUUACGAACUGGUCUGCAGUGUCUUCCAGUGUAUGCGUACACAAAAUUCACUUUACUUUUCUUUUUGCCCUUUGUAUAAAUGAUGUGGUUGAGUUACGAAGCCUCUUCUUGCAGUGUUGUCUGCAAGGCCGAAGAGAAGUUACUAAUGCAUUUGAGCUGCUCUAUGUGAUUGUUCAUCUCCUGAACCUGUUUUAGUUGACAUAAAAGUGUUCUCUAUUUCAGAAAGCGACAACACGAGAUUGUGCCCCCUCUUGCUCCAGAACAAAGUUGAAGAGAUGACUUGGAAUCUCUUGGAUAUGUACUCAUGUACUUCAUACGGGGAAGCCUUCCUUGGUAAGGUCUGAAAGCAGGAACGAGGAAGCAAAAGUAUGCGAAGAUCAGUGAGAAAAAAUUUGCAACAUCAGUUGAGGUACUUGGUAGUUAUAAUGCGUGUACUGGUUGUUGGCACUCCGCCCUGUAUAUCUAGGUUGGUUAUAAUGUUCUGAUUAUUUUUUAGGCUCUGUGUCAUGGGUAUCCUACUGAGUUCACAUCAUAUUUCCAUUAUGGUUAUUGCCGCUCGCUUCGGUUUGGCGACGAGCCUGAUUAUUCCUACCUUAAGCGACUGUUACGUGACCUAUUUAUCCAUGAAGGUUUGAUUUUGUUUUCAUUCUUGAAGAGCAUUAGGAAGUAUCAUUUUCCUCUUCAUACUUAAAUCUACGAGAUAUUAACUUCCCUCGUCUAUACUUGAUGGAAACCUGUUGCACUUUGUGUAUUAUUGAAGUACCAACAUCCAAAAUGCUUUAAAGGUUACAGCCGUAAGGUUCAUAUCAGAAUAAUGCCUUGCAGGUUUUCAGUUUGACUAUGUAUUUGACUGGACAAUAUUGAAGUACCAGCAAUCUCAAAUUGCUGGUGCUCUGCCUCGUGUUGCAGUAAGUCUUUCAUGCACUCACCAACCAAAGACAUGUAUAUUUUCAUAUAGCCAUCCAUGUGAAAUUGCGACGUCUUACAUAUAUUCUACAUGGCCAUGGUGCGGGACCUUUUGGGUUGACACCACCUGUAUUGCAGAAUGAUAGUCAAUCUGGUAAUUGGUUUAUUUUGAUCAUUCCUUACGAGUAUUACUAUCACUGUUUUUAGGAAAUAUUGAUGAGUAAUUGGCUUAUAAUAAAGUUGCCAGAAAGUUUCUUUGCUUCUAUGGCUAACUUGAACCAGAUGGUCACCGGUUGGUCCUCCUCUUCUCUCCUCGCGCCAUCGUCCUCCUCAUCCAUCUCCCGAUUCAGCCAAGACAACAGGGAUCAAGACUGUAUUAUGUUGAAAAAAGGAAAGAGACUACUCUUUUGUUACUUACAUUACAGAUAUAUGUUAUAACAUUACCUUUAUGCUCUCUUUGGAUUUCAUUUUGUGCCUACCAACAAGUAAGUCACUAAUAUCAAUGCCUAAGAAUUAUUUUGUUUGCCAUUCUAAUCAUGACUGCAGAGAGCAAUGGAUAUAGAAGAAAUAUGUAAACAAUUGUCCCUUAGAAGAAUAUGCAACAACUUAUUCAGAAGAGAGCAAGGGAUAUAUAAGAAAUCUCCAGGCAACUUCGCUUAGAUGCAUCAUCUUCUAGUAGGAGUCAGCUUGAAGAAUGACCUUCCCAGGUUAAUUCUUGAGUCAGUGUUUUGGCUUUUCUCCAUUGGUUCGUAAAAUGUUGUUCCUAUGUUGCGGGAGACUGCAACUGACAUGUUGGAUGCGAGACUGCAACUGACAUACUGGAUGGGGAAUAACCAACUUUUUGGCCAAAGAGCUACAACCAAGGACAAAGAGUUCAUCGCAAGGGGGUGGUGUUUAGGAUAUAUACACAAAAGUGGAAACUUUCUUUUGUACAGAACCAAAUUAUAUGAUGUAAUUGAUCAUUAUUUCUAAGACCUUCUCCUGAACUCAAUAUUCAUCAUGUAUUAAGUGCAUUUUA